GUCUUGUUCUCAGAUUGAGAAACCUCCGGCUGUUCAAAUUGCUUACCCUGAUUGUCUGAUGGCUUGUUAUCCAAACUAGAUUGCAGACAUUCCUUUAUCUGCAAGGAAGACUCCUUUGGAUCAAUCGACAACUCAUGUCCUAAUGCUUCUACUGGAGCCACCUGAGAGGAACACUGGUCUUGGGCUUGCAUUUGCAUUUGCAUUUGCA
RNAcentral lists this unclassified non-coding RNA (208 nucleotides) under Hevea brasiliensis (rubber tree). Lineage: Eukaryota; Viridiplantae; Streptophyta; Magnoliopsida; Malpighiales; Euphorbiaceae. The record is from RNAcentral.